AGGAGAAGCAGAAGAAGCAGGAGGAGGAGGAGAAGAAAGCCAGAGAGGAGCUGAUACAUCGUCAGCAAAAGUAUCCAAACCUCCCGUGGCAGCUGUAAAAAACAUUUAUGAGCCAUGUUGCCACGAGACAUGAUGUCAACUUUUGUUUGUGGACGACUGAGUGAAACACAGCAGAACACAGUAACUCCCAUAGAGCUGUCAGAUCUCCCUGCAGUAGAAAAACCCUGCCAUCUGUAUGCUCUGGAUUUUAUGUUGUUUGUGGCAAUGGGCAUCAUAGUAAAGAAUGACAUUUUAAAUAGUGUAUCACACCUCAAGUUUGACACCAGACAGAAAAAAAGAUACUCACUCCUAACCAAUGGGAAUGUUUGUUGGAGCUGAAUGAAAACUUUGUGAUUCUAUUCUACAAUAGUUGCCAUUCUUUUUUUUUGUACCUUGAUACUUUAAUCAAUCAAAAAUGCCCAAAGAGAGCAGUAUUAUUAGACUUUUAGUCUUUCAAACUGGAGCAGUCUGAAAGCAAAUAUUUUUGUUGUUCCUUUUGCAUCUUUAACCAAAAGUAAGACUAAAUAAACACCUGGGACAUGAUGUAACCUAGUUUUCCUGCAUAGAUUUAUUUAAUCUUUUACACAGAUGUAAAAAAAAGUUGUCUUUUUGUCUUUACACCUGUGUUAGCAGCAGCUCGUGCAUCACGAUGGCGUUAAAAAUGUGGUUUUAUUAUCACGUCUUUGUACUUUAUCUAUCACGGGGACUUUGCGUCGUCUCUAUCCCUAAUUUAAUUAUAUCAUUUCUUCUUCUCCGUAUCGUAACAGUGACAACUGCAUUCCCGUGUGUUCCGUGUUGUUGUUUUUCCUUUUCAACUGCUCGCGCUGAGACGCUGCGUUCCUACUAUUAGUCUGACUGCUCGUCUUUGUUGAUCCUGGCUGCAAGUGUGGCAGCGCGUCUCACACUAUCUGCUCCUGUUCUUCUCCACUUCUGUGAUGUUAAUGAGGCCUUUUGGUUUGUAAUUAAAAGAUGGCCCAAAGAUACAGAGAGACUAAUUAACCAAGACAUGGCUGUUGGAAAAGGCCGGACGCCCUGCCAAACUCUAGACCUAGUCUUAAUACAGUGCCUCAAAGUGUCUCAAACAUUCAAUGUUGGUGGGAGAAAAAAAAAAACUGUAUUUCCUGAGCUUUUUUUUUUCUUGGCACAAGUGAUCACUGUGAAUAGGAAUGGGUUGAGACUAAUUAAAUUUGCUCUUAACCUGCUUCAUUGCUUAAAGUAAGUCAAUCAAUUAGAAAGUGGCACAUAGUUAUUGUAAGACAUUGCUGUGCUACAGCUGUGAGCAGGGCUUUAUUUUGACCAGUAAAAUGAUUACCUUGCAGUUUAAUCUGAGGAGUUAAAUGUUCACGUUGUCUUUAAACAAAUUUUUGACCCUGG
Molecule: long non-coding RNA, 1413 nt
Organism: Cynoglossus semilaevis (tongue sole)
Lineage: Eukaryota; Metazoa; Chordata; Actinopteri; Pleuronectiformes; Cynoglossidae
Exons: 2
Source: RefSeq, a predicted model, not a curated record